This 87-nucleotide transfer RNA is filed under the name Pseudomonadota bacterium. Its description in RNAcentral is "tRNA-Ser". It matches the Rfam family "tRNA". From Rfam's summary of the family: Transfer RNA (tRNA) molecules are approximately 80 nucleotides in length. Their secondary structure includes four short double-helical elements and three loops (D, anti-codon, and T loops). Further hydrogen bonds mediate the characteristic L-shaped molecular structure. tRNAs have two regions of fundamental functional importance: the anti-codon, which is responsible for specific mRNA codon recognition, and the 3' end, to which the tRNAs corresponding amino acid is attached (by aminoacyl-tRNA synthetases). tRNAs cope with the degeneracy of the genetic code in two manners: having more than one tRNA (with a specific anti-codon) for a particular amino acid; and 'wobble' base-pairing, i.e. permitting non-standard base-pairing at the 3rd anti-codon position. RNAcentral also lists the same sequence under 5 other names. The record is from RNAcentral. Lineage: Bacteria; Pseudomonadati; Pseudomonadota.
GGAGAGGUGUCCGAGUCUGGCUUAAGGAGCACGCUUGGAAGGCGUGUGUACAGCAAUGUACCGAGGGUUCAAAUCCCUCCCUCUCCG